RNAcentral lists this ribosomal RNA (505 nucleotides) under uncultured bacterium. Its description in RNAcentral is "bacterial SSU rRNA". It matches the Rfam family "Bacterial small subunit ribosomal RNA", at positions 28 to 523 of the family's 1533-position model. The record is from RNAcentral.
GAUGAACGCUAGCGGCAGGCCUAACACAUGCAAGUCGAACGGUAACAUUGGUUGCUUGCAACCAGAUGACGAGUGGCGCACGGGUGCGGAACGCGUAUCGAACCUGCCCCCUUCAGGAGGAUAGCCCAUGGAAACGUGGAUUAAUACUCCAUAGUAACAUGAUGUUGCAUGACAUUGUGUUUAAAGAUUUAUCGGAAGGGGAUGGCGAUGCGUACCAUUAGCUAGUUGGUAAGGUAACGGCUUACCAAGGCAACGAUGGUUAGGGGCCCUGAGAGGGGGAUCCCCCACACUGGUACUGAGACACGGACCAGACUCCUACGGGAGGCAGCAGUGAGGAAUAUUGGACAAUGGUGGGAACACUGAUCCAGCCAUGCCGCGUGCAGGAUGACUGCCCCUAUGGGUUUGUAAAACUGCUUUUAUACGGGAAGAAACCCGGGUACGUGUACCCGGCUGACGGUACCGUAAGAAUAAGGACCGGCUAACUCCGUGCCAGCCGCCGCGGUAA